Molecule: unclassified non-coding RNA, 209 nt
Filed under: Hevea brasiliensis (rubber tree)
Lineage: Eukaryota; Viridiplantae; Streptophyta; Magnoliopsida; Malpighiales; Euphorbiaceae
Source: RNAcentral
GUCAGGUCUGUUUUGCUAAGAGUACCUCAUUAAAAAGAGAGAAAUCUUUAAAGCACAUUCCUCCUUCCUUUCUGCUCCAACAGAGAUUUUUCCAACUGAUCCAAUGAAUAUUGGACCUAUUAAAUGAGUUCCACCACUAAAAACGAGUUGCUUCCUACUGCAUUUCACUAAGAAUAACUUGAGGCAACUUGAAAACAUGCAUAAUAUAA